This 437-nucleotide ribosomal RNA is filed under the name Klebsiella pneumoniae. RNAcentral describes it as "partial 23S ribosomal RNA". It matches the Rfam family "Bacterial large subunit ribosomal RNA", at positions 2365 to 2801 of the family's 2925-position model. The record is from RNAcentral. Lineage: Bacteria; Pseudomonadati; Pseudomonadota; Gammaproteobacteria; Enterobacterales; Enterobacteriaceae.
UAGCUUGACUGCGAGCGUGACGGCGCGAGCAGGUGCGAAAGCAGGUCAUAGUGAUCCGGUGGUUCUGAAUGGAAGGGCCAUCGCUCAACGGAUAAAAGGUACUCCGGGGAUAACAGGCUGAUACCGCCCAAGAGUUCAUAUCGACGGCGGUGUUUGGCACCUCGAUGUCGGCUCAUCACAUCCUGGGGCUGAAGUAGGUCCCAAGGGUAUGGCUGUUCGCCAUUUAAAGUGGUACGCGAGCUGGGUUUAGAACGUCGUGAGACAGUUCGGUCCCUAUCUGCCGUGGGCGCUGGAGAAUUGAGGGGGGCUGCUCCUAGUACGAGAGGACCGGAGUGGACGCAUCACUGGUGUUCGGGUUGUCAUGCCAAUGGCACUGCCCGGUAGCUAAAUGCGGAAGAGAUAAGUGCUGAAAGCAUCUAAGCACGAAACUUGCCCCG